Cydia fagiglandana is the source of this 3963-nucleotide long non-coding RNA. RefSeq lists it as uncharacterized. The record is from RefSeq and is a predicted model, not a curated record. The transcript is spliced from 2 exons. Lineage: Eukaryota; Metazoa; Arthropoda; Insecta; Lepidoptera; Tortricidae.
CAAUCACUCUUCCAUAUGUGAUGUUCCACGGAAAAAGGUACCUUAUGGCGGCUGGCGCUUACGUCACAAAGCGCCACAAUAAUAUUGGAGCGACGUUAACAAUAGCGUAAGCGCCAACCGCCAUAAGGUACCUUUACACGUGGCACGUCCAAUAUUAGUGCGACAGUGACAGUUGCGUUUGAAUCGCUAUCGGAGCGUAAGCGAUUGGCAUUUUGGCUACGCGGCCGAGUGACAAUCGUUCGCAGGGAAUGCCAAAUGAAACUAAAAUACUCGUAAAUGAUUACGUCACUUUUCGUAGCUGUUAACCAGAUAUAAGUCGCACCAAUAAAAAUCUGCAGCGGAUUUGAUAGCCCACGCAGUGUACCUAAGUGUUAUUUAUACGUCAUAAUUUCAUAGAAGUUUGACGUUUAAAAUUACACUUGCACUGCGUGGGCUAUCAAUAUCGCUGCAGACCUUUUACGGUCUAACUUUACCUUGAGAUUCGAUGUCGUUAAACGAUUGUCAUCUUGGCUGCAGCUCCAAUAGGGUUGAAACUGUCAGAGGUUUGCAUAGAUUGCGCUUUCAUAGCUUGCCCCUUUUUCUAUGAGAUUUGGCUUAAAGGGCUGGCAUCCAGGGCAUAAACUUCCAUUAAAAAAACAAAAAAAUUACACAAUUCUAGGGAUUGACAUGGCAAGUUAUGCUGGCCCCAUCUGCUAAAUACUGCGACCGGCUAACCCUAUUUAUGCUCGAGUUUACCGUUAUCAAAAACAAUUUUUGAAUGUGUAAAGUUAAGAAUAAGUAUAAAGCUGUUUUGUCAAACGUCUAAUGUUGACUACUAAAGUGACCGCAUAAUGAACGAAUAUAUGAACGCUGUCAAUUCAAAUCGAACGCAUCUGUCUUAAACUUUACACAUCUAAUACAAUUAUGUAUUAAUCUCAUCGUCCGCACCGCACGAGAGACAUAUUUUGACUCAAUUCUGGCCGAAUUGUAAACCCAUCCUGUGGGCACAGGUACGCGCCUGUGGGCAAUCCUUGUCGCUACCCAGUUGCGGAUCUUUUCAUAUAUAUCGGAUUCAGAGCGGCCGAAGUGCUCGUAAAUAUUUGAACAUACGCUCUAAGGCCUUGACAAUAGAGGCGUGUACCGAUAUUUGUGAGCGCCUUAGUCGGACCAGGUGAUUAAAUGAUAACGGUAAACGCGAUCAUACUUCCAGGCACACGUUUAACACGCACCAAAGUACAUCCUUUUAAAAAUUAGUGAUAAUUCGAAUGUCGAAGAGAUUUUAUCCACCGGCCAGUUGGAAAGGAAGAUCAGGAUUUAUAGGUACUAAUACAGUGGCUAAUAAAAACAAGUGCAAACUUUAAGAGCUGAUUUAGACGGCGCGCGAACUCGUAUGCGAUUUUAGUUACAUUGCGGACUGUUAGUUACGUCCAAUUCAACCGGUCGAUCAAAACCCGCAAUGCAAUGAAAUUCGCAUGCGAGUUCUCGUAUCGUCUAAUAAAUGAGCCCUAAGAUAUUAAGUCGUGACGUCGAUAUUUGCUGCUGAGUGUAUUUAAGUGAACGUUGAAUAAUUAUAGAAGAAUGAUUUGCGCAGAACAUUGAAUGAAGGUAUUUCUGUAUAAAUUAUAAUUCACUUGUUUUAACAGCAAAAAUAUACAACGUCGUCAUUCACUUAGAAAAUGUUAAAUAACCAGCAAGUGUCUGAAAAUAUACUGCGUAUUUUAAGCAAAAUGUCAAAGUAGCGCCUUAAAUUGUGGGGUCAGAUUAAAGGAUGCUAAACUAAUGCGUGUUAACGCGUGCUGCUACUAGGUACAGUCGCCAUCAGAUAUAUCGGAGCAGCCAAGGUGUUCACAAAUAUCUGAACACGCCUCUAUUUUCAAGGCGUUAGAGUGCGCGUUCAGAUAUUGUGAACACCUUGGCCGCUCCGAUAUAUCUACGUGCGUGCUUGCUACGGCUGAAAAGGACUUUAUUUUAUGUACUAAAAGUAAAGGUUGAAAAAUAAUAGGCGGGACAAAAUUACAUCUUAAUAUAAACUUGUAAUGCGAUUUGAUCUCAGGCUAUGUUGAUUGGUUUAUGAAAAAGAUAAAAAAAAAAUAACUUGGGAAUGUGUUAGGCACUCAAUCAGUCUAGUCAGUUUUGGUAAAGUCGAGAGAGCAAUUGUGGCGAAAGGUGCAGACCAAGUGGUGAUGGGUGAUCUAAUAAGAGUCUAGCAAACGAGUUUAUCAUCAGAAUUUACUGCUUCUGCAAGUGAAAAUGACCUUUAUUUUUUGAAUGAAAAGUUAGAUUUCAUAUCUGAACGUAAGUGUGCUAACGUAAAAUAUAUUUGACACAACCGAUUAGUAUACGACCAUUUGAUUGAUAACUUCUUUGCAUCUUAUUUCAUAUUCUGAAUGCUUGAUAUGACACUGUUGAUAACGUGAACCAAUCCUUCUUUGAAAAUAUCUUAUACCUUCUAUUUUUUACCAUCCGAUACACUCGAGCCAAGAUUAGAACAAUUUUUUAAAUAAAUAUUUUAAGUAGUGCUUUAAUGUUACGAACGUACAACGCAAAAAAAGUAAAGGUGGUGACCAUAUCCAAAAUGUACUCCAUGCGAUUAAUGUUUAUUUCACAUUUGAAUAAAUCGGUAAAUCUCUAGAUUAUAUUAUAUACCAGCAACCUUUUAUUCUGCAAAUAACUUGCAGUUUUUUUAUAGUUUAAUAUUUCAACUACAAUUUUGAAAUAAUUUAUAAAAUACUUCAUCGCUUGGAGUAUGUGGGCCACAAUUUUCAACAAUUUACACACAUACCUACCUAUUGUUAUAGGUUUUGUAUCAAUUUAUAAAAAAAUACCGAAAAAAAAUGGAAAGUUGUGGCCUUUAUUUUGAAAUUCAAAGCAGGAGGAGAAUUAUUGUGGUUGGAAUAAUUCUUACUCAUAUUAAUUUUUGUAUUUAUUAUAUUUUAUUUGUCGUAAAAAUUAUUAAAUUAUGCACGCGUGAGUUUCUCACUUUAAUGGCUAUUUUAGCAUUUUUUUAUUUUAUUUACAAUGUAGUUGUAAUUAUUACUUCUUUUUAAACAGAUAUCUACCUUAUUUUGGUGAUGUGAGGCGUGAGAUGUUUACCUAUUAUCAAUUCAUUACUUGGCUUUAGUUUGUGGAUGAUACGACAUAUCAAAAUUCAGGUUCAAAGUCGAGCAAAACAAUCUAUUUUACGGUGAAAUAUUUGACCAUAAACAUAUUUUCUCAAAAAUCUGUAAAAUUGCUUGAUACUACAGGUCCAAUAUUUCUUACAAAUCAUUUGAUUUUUAAUACGCUUAUAAUUUUUAGUUAAUUGAGAUAAAUUCAGAAACGUUUUUUCUGGAACGUUUCCAUUUCUUUUUAACGUUUUUAAGUUUUUAGAGUUUAUUUUUGAUUGUUCCGUUUAAAUAAUCAAAUGGACGGCAUUUGUCCCAGCCAAAUGACGUCCAUUUGACGGCAUCCGAUUUUCGUGGCGCAUCCUCCCAUGUCACCCAGCGUGCGCCAGGAAGAUGAAGGAUUAAUAGCAUAGACGUUAUUGUUACUGACAUAAGGUAUAUAAUAAAGAUAUUUAUAAACAUAGAGGUAAUUAUGCGAUCAGAGAACUUCCUUUCGGGCCCAGUGAACAUGAUUACUUACGAUUACCUCCGGCUCCUUAUAUAUUUUCUUAACAUAAUAUUUUUAUUAUUAAAUACAAUAAAUAAAAAACAACAUAACGUGUUUUUCAAUUCUUAUUACCAAUUGAAAAUGGAACUGUGUACGCUCCGGCGUUAUAAAUAUCCACGGGUUAUUGCUGGAUAGGUAGUCGUUAGAACAUAAAAAUUAUAUAAAGAAAUCUAUUAUGUACCUACUAAGAAAUAUAUAGAAAAUAUAAUGUGAUUUGGUGUUGUAUAUGAAUUAAAUGAUGUUUUUGUAAUUGCUACUCCUUUCCCUUUCUUACUGUUCAUGCAAGUAUCCCGAGGUAGUAAAAUCUCUAAUAAAGAUAUAUUUGAAAGUUUU